GGAUGCAGGCAAAUCCCCAUAAAUAACUGAACCUUUUCAUGUCAACUGGUACAAAUAGCAGUCACUUCAAACAAUCUGACCUUUCUUGGGGAUUCUGACCAAUCUGCAGUGGAAGUUGGCUGAUAUCUUUCAGGAUUUUCCACAGUUAAGGAAAUGAAUGCCUGGGGUGGAAUGAUCUUCUGGGGGAACUGAGCAAGAUGCAAUUUAAUGCCUCCCCUCUCAGAGGCAGAGAGCAUCCAGCGUGGGAGAGAGAGGCUGAUAGCCCACAACUGCCAUCAUCCCACAAGAGCUGUACUUCAGAUUCUUGGGAAUGUGACCCGUGAAGUCCAGCAACAAAGGCAGUCAGGCUGGUAACUCCAACUGGAGACCUCCCUAUCAUCUCAGCCUCACUGCUCCACUCCCUGACUACCUCCAAGCCCUGCAGAGCUUUGCUCUCCCUCCUCAGUGGGAUUCUGUAAUCCCUGCUGAUGACACACUGCUCGUGAUCUGUAGUUGGCAUCGGUUACAGAAGAUUUCUGGAAGAGAGCACUGAACUGUUUGGGUUUGGUGGGAUGGGGUAGCAGGGAGGGAAACAAAUUAGAAGCACAGGAGCUUGGCUUCUAACACAGGGGCCUGAGGGUGUCAUAUUUGGGUGAACAACUGCUCUAUCACAGUGUCUGUGUAACUAAAACUCUGUCCAAAGAACAGAGUUUGUUCAAGGUU
This is a long non-coding RNA of Empidonax traillii (willow flycatcher), 702 nucleotides long. RefSeq lists it as uncharacterized. NCBI's taxonomy places the organism in Eukaryota, Metazoa, Chordata, Aves, Passeriformes, Tyrannidae. The record is from RefSeq and is a predicted model, not a curated record. The transcript has 2 exons.